Molecule: long non-coding RNA, 1753 nt
Organism: Mustela lutreola (European mink)
Lineage: Eukaryota; Metazoa; Chordata; Mammalia; Carnivora; Mustelidae
Exons: 2
Source: RefSeq, a predicted model, not a curated record
GGGGUCGGUGGCGGAUGACAGGGUGCAACGGCCAGGGGGACAGUGGCACUUCUGGGAAGCAGAGAGCAGGCAGGCCCCCUGAGGCUCCCAGGCCACGGCAGAGAUAGUAGGACACCCUGCCCGGUGAGGGUCUAAGCCGCUAGAUGAAACCCCCGCCCCCGCCCCCGCCCCCACCCCCACCCUGGCGGUCAUGUCAUCCCCGCUGAGCAGCCUGUCCUGGCACUGAUGUGCCCUGCGCUGGGACUUCCGGAACCUUCACCUUGGAUCUGCCCUGCCCUGAAGGGAAACUCCGGGUCUGGGCUGACUCACAUCCAGGUCCAACAGGACCACAGGGGCCAGGCUCCCGAGGGACAAGGCAUGUCAGGGGCACUUGGAGAACUUCGUGGGACCCCAGCACCCACCAUCUCCGCAGGCUUAGGACGGAGCCAGAAUCCCCAGCCCUAAGUCAGACGCACCCUCCGAGUCUGCAGGGCAAUCUGGGUUUAACAGGAGAGAAUGUGCGGGCUUCGGGGGUGGCACCUGAGCUGGUCUGGGCUCUUCUGCUUCUGCGGGUCACCUCACGUCCUGCCAGCUGGGGGAGUUCUAGCUGUAGGACCCCAGAGUUCAGACUCCUCCGGUUCAAAUCUUGGUUCUGCUGCCCAGUGGCUGUGUGACCCCAGUGGCCACACCAUUUGUACCAGAUUUCCAGUUUCUCCGCGUCCUUGUCAACACUGACUACUGUCCGUUGUUUUUGUCAUGGCCAUGCCAGCGGGCGUGAAAUGGUUCAUCGUAAUGACGUAUUUCCUUUCAUCCGCCAUGUCCAGGACUGUCAUUUCAUUGUGCAAUCAAUGCAAAUUAUUAACAAGAUACUGUAUACCUUUAUACCUUUUCACGCAAAGCCUUGGAAAUCGUGUGUGGCCACACAGAUCAUCUCAGUUUGGACAACCACGUUACGAGAGCUUAAUGGACACACGUGGCCAGCGAUACGGUCACGGAAGGCACAGCUCUCAGUGCCGAGGACACAAGAGUGACCAAAACAGAUUCAGCCCUGGUCCCAGGGAGCUCCCAGUCUAGUGUCCGAGAUGGAAGAAAAAUGGAUAAAGAAGUACAUGAGAUGAUUUCUCGUGGUGACAAGUGUGGAAGAGGAAAUCAGACUGAUGGCGGCUGUGCUCUAGGGAACAACCCAGGGGGCUUCUGAGCCGGCGCGGUGCCUUCAAUGACUCUUCUACAACAGUCAUCAAACAUGUCCUGAGCCCCUUCCGCGGUGUCUGUCCGUCAGGAGAGGAGAGUAGGUUCUGUGAAGGAAUAGGACGCCUGCAGACACAGAGAUGUCAAGAAUCUGGAGUGUAAGCCGGCAGCCAGCGCAGGGAUUUCAGUCAGGCAAAAGCCCCUCCUGUCCUGCUUUAUGGGUGAGACGGUCUAGAAAUGGUGAUACCUCUUCUGAAAUGUUUGGUGAAAAUUUGCCACUGAAAGGUCUAGGCCUUCAUCGUCUUUGCUGAAAAAUUUUUUCUCUGUUACGGGGCUAUGCUGAUUAUGGUUCCCUGUAGGUGAGUUUUCAUUUUGGUGUCUUUGGAAGCUGGGUGCCAUUUAUGGCCCUACAGUGGAAUUGAUGGGCGUAGAUGGUUUCUAGCACGUAAUCCUUUUUAAUAGCUCUGGGGUCUGUAGUGACCACCUUUCUCUCAUUCCUGGCGUUGGUCAUCUUUCUUUCUCGGUCAGUCUGCUUAGAGUUUUGUCCUUUUUUCAAGAUCACUGCAAAGAACAUCUUUGGGUUUUA